CUUUUCUCCGCAGCCAUUGCGGAAGGCCGUUUCUGUGGCUCGCGGAAAUCCACUGCUAGUGCUUGAACGAAGACGCGGCAUACGGAAAAAAGAGACCGGAAAUACCUCGAAAUGUACGUUACUUCGUUUGACGCGAAAGAAUUUACCCUGGGAGCAUACGAAGCACCAAUAUGCGUCCCGGUCUUCGGCGGUGAGAUGUUGAUGUGAGCCCCCCGAAUGUCAGCUCGGUGAUGUGCGACGCGAGUGAGCCUUUCUACUUUUUGGCGGAGACCCCAUUUCGCCAGCAAGUGUCUCGGUGUCUCCGUGAAGCACCGAAGUGUAGCUACAGCCCUCUUCGGCGAGCUGAACGGGCAGCCGAGCUUUCGAAGGCCGAUCUCCCGCAGCGCUGGAACCCGGAGAACCGCGCCAUGGCGCUCGCUGAGAAUCCACCGGCUGCCGGGCUACUGAAAGGGCCCUCUGCUCGGAGGACAUGCUGAGGGCCCUGUAUAAUGCCCUCGGCGCCUGUGCGACUUCCGGGGGUCUGCGUUUCACGACCCCGUUACCAGCUGGGAAGUUCUCCAUGGAGGGGACGACAUCCUGUCCAGCACCAGCUUCACCAUCUGGGACCAAGUGCACGAGGGGUCGCACUGCAAGGAGAUGAAAGGAGGGCACUGCGACCUUGAGGUCAAGCUUGUACAUCUACCAUUACAGUCCUGAAUGGAUGCCAAUUGGUACUGAUGACGUUAUGAAGGUGAAACGUCCCUGGAUCUAAAGGGAAAAUUUGAUUGAAGGCAAGCUGAAGUUGUUUCUGACUUUAUCCUCUUACGACUUGAAAGUAAUCUGCCUACUUCAUGAAUACUUGAUUUCAAGCUUGCAGAUUGAAAUAAUAUUUUAUUGAAUCAUAUCCAUUCUUAAACCUGUUUGAGAUUGUAUUGGUUCGUAUUCACAGUAUAUUUAUUUUUCAUUUCAGCAAGGAAUAAUUUAGAGACAGAUGUUGGUGUUCAGGCGUGAUGCUUUUAUUUUUGUAACAUGCAAGAGGGCAAAAAAUUAGAUUCGGCUUUGUAAACUGAUUUUUUUAUGUAUUUUUCCAAACAGCAUAGCAAAGAAUAAUAUAAGGGCUACAGCUGCGUGAGUUGCUACACCUGGCAUCUCAUUUGUUUUAUAGCGUGUACAGGUGAGACACUAUACUCCGUUUCUCGGUAACUUGGCAAACAUUGCGACCCAAUAAGAGCAUCGGAGCCAGGCACGUGACAAUACUCCACGGUCGAGUCCUCGUUAUUGCCACAGCAAGAGCGCCAUCUGCGACAAAACCUAGUUCUAGGCUUUGUUUCUUCUUCUUCUUUUAGUAGUGUUGCCGUCGGAUUCUUCGGACCGCAACACUACACGACACUGAAGAAAGACGAAGACAUUUGUUACUUACUAGCGACACUUAAUAUAGAUCAACACUUUUCUGAGAAAAACAUGGCCUGUGAUCGAAGUUCAAGCAAUUGUAGCCGUGAAUCGACCACUUCCGCUCAAAACAU
This is a long non-coding RNA of Ixodes scapularis (black-legged tick), 1502 nucleotides long. RefSeq lists it as uncharacterized. The transcript has 3 exons. The record is from RefSeq and is a predicted model, not a curated record. Lineage: Eukaryota; Metazoa; Arthropoda; Arachnida; Ixodida; Ixodidae.